UACGGAAGGCAGCAGUGGGGAAUAUUGCACAAUGGGCGAAAGCCUGAUGCAGCUAUGCCGCGUGUAUGAAGAAGGCCUUAGGGUUGUAAAGUACUUUCAUCGGGGAGGAAAAAACAAAACUAAUAAUUUUAUUUCUUGACGUUACCCGAAAAAGAAGCACCGGCUAACUCCGUGCCAGCAGCCGCGGUAAUACGGAGGGUGCUAGCGUUAAUCAGAAUUACUGGGCGUAAAGAGCACGUAGGUGGUUUUUUUAAGUCAGAUGUGAAAUCCCUGGGCUUAACCUAGGAACUGCAUUUUGAAACUGAAAUACUAGAGUAUCGUAGAGGGAGGUAGAAUUCUAGGUGUAGCGGUGAAAUGCGUAGAUAUCUGGAGGAAUACCUGUGGCGAAAGCGACCUCCUAAACGAAUACUGACACUGAGGGUGCGAAAGCGUGGGGAGCAAAACAGGGAUUAGAUACC
RNAcentral lists this ribosomal RNA (458 nucleotides) under uncultured bacterium. RNAcentral describes it as "bacterial SSU rRNA". It matches the Rfam family "Bacterial small subunit ribosomal RNA", at positions 340 to 786 of the family's 1533-position model. The record is from RNAcentral.